GACAGAGGGUGCAAACGUUGUUCGGAAUUACUGGGCGUAAAGCGUGUGUAGGCGGCUUUGCAAGUCGGAUGUGAAAGCCCAGGGCUCAACCCUGGAAGUGCACUCGAUACUGCAGAGCUUGAGUAUCGGAGAGGUUGGUGGAAUUCUCGGUGUAGAGGUGAAAUUCGUAGAUAUCGAGAGGAACAUCGGCGGCGAAGGCGGCCAACUGGACGAAUACUGACGCUGAGACACGAAAGCGUGGGGAGCAAACAGG
This 253-nucleotide ribosomal RNA is filed under the name uncultured bacterium. Its description in RNAcentral is "partial 16S ribosomal RNA". It matches the Rfam family "Bacterial small subunit ribosomal RNA", at positions 524 to 776 of the family's 1533-position model. The record is from RNAcentral.